This 497-nucleotide ribosomal RNA is filed under the name uncultured bacterium. Its description in RNAcentral is "partial 16S ribosomal RNA". It matches the Rfam family "Bacterial small subunit ribosomal RNA", at positions 28 to 507 of the family's 1533-position model. The record is from RNAcentral.
GACGAACGCUGGCGGCGUGCCUAAUACAUGCAAGUUGAGCGCUGAAGGUUGGUACUUGUACCAACUGGAUGAGCAGCGAACGGGUGAGUAACGCGUGGGGAAUCUGCCUUUGAGCGGGGGACAACAUUUGGAAACGAAUGCUAAUACCGCAUAAAAACUUUAAACACAAGUUUUAAGUUUGAAAGAUGCAAUUGCAUCACUCAAAGAUGAUCCCGCGUUGUAUUAGCUAGUUGGUGAGGUAAAGGCUCACCAAGGCGAUGAUACAUAGCCGACCUGAGAGGGUGAUCCGCCACAUUGGGACUGAGACACGGCCCAAACUCCUACGGGAGGCAGCAGUAGGGAAUCUUCGGCAAUGGACGAAAGUCUGACCGAGCAACGCCGCGUGAGUGAAGAAGGUUUUCGGAUCGUAAAACUCUGUUGGUAGAGAAGAACGUUGGUGAGAGUGGAAAGCUCAUCAAGUGACGGUAACUACCCAGAAAGGGACGGCUAACUACGUG